GAGGGUAUAGCUCAAGUGGUAGAGCGCAUGCUUAGCAUGCAGGAGGUCCUGGGUUCAAUCCCCAGUACCUCCU
Molecule: transfer RNA, 73 nt
Organism: Camelus ferus (Wild Bactrian camel)
Lineage: Eukaryota; Metazoa; Chordata; Mammalia; Artiodactyla; Camelidae
Rfam family: tRNA
About the family: Transfer RNA (tRNA) molecules are approximately 80 nucleotides in length. Their secondary structure includes four short double-helical elements and three loops (D, anti-codon, and T loops). Further hydrogen bonds mediate the characteristic L-shaped molecular structure. tRNAs have two regions of fundamental functional importance: the anti-codon, which is responsible for specific mRNA codon recognition, and the 3' end, to which the tRNAs corresponding amino acid is attached (by aminoacyl-tRNA synthetases). tRNAs cope with the degeneracy of the genetic code in two manners: having more than one tRNA (with a specific anti-codon) for a particular amino acid; and 'wobble' base-pairing, i.e. permitting non-standard base-pairing at the 3rd anti-codon position.
Source: Rfam